Molecule: ribosomal RNA, 253 nt
Filed under: uncultured bacterium
Lineage: Bacteria
Description: partial 16S ribosomal RNA
Rfam family: Bacterial small subunit ribosomal RNA
Source: RNAcentral
GACAGAGGAGCCAAGCGUUGUCCGGAUUGACUGGGCGUAAAGCGCACGCAGGCGGCCGUGCACGUGGGGUGUGAAAGCUGGCGGCUUAACUGCCAGACGCCACCUCAUACGGCACGGCUCGAGCCCGUGAGAGGUCCACGGAAUUGCCGGUGUAGUGGUGAAAUGCGUAGAGAUCGGGAAGAACAUCGGUGGCGAAAGCGCUCUGCUGGACUGCAACUGACACUCAGGGACGAAAGCUAGGGGAGCGAAUGGG